UAGAGCUCAGAUUCCAAAUCGUCCAGCUUACUGGAGUAUUCCUGAGGAGAUGAAGAAAUUGCAAAGGCAAGUUAAUGAGUUGUUGGCUGAGGGACAUAUCAGGGGGAGUCUCUGUUAGGGUCCCGAACCUGAGAUCGAGUUAGGGGUCUUUCGUGGAGGAAAGUGGAAGGUGUUCGUGAGGGUGAGGACGUGGUGUUCUUUUUGCGACCUAUCUUGAGAAAUUAGAAGACUCAAUUAGAGGGAAUCUCAAACCUCUGAGUUAAAGUACUCAAAACUGUAAUGAUUUCCAAGUUGAUCUCUUCAUUGAUAAUUAUUGAAUAUUUAUACAGGAUGUAAACCACCCUUUGCUACAUCAAUGGAAUCAUGACUUGAUCAUGGAGUCACAACCUCCUAAGAUAAUGGGAGUAACUACCUCCUAAGAUAAUGGUAAUAACUACCUCCUAAGAUAAUGGAAAUAACUACCUCCUAAGAUAAUGGUAAUAACUACCUCUUAAGAUAAUGGAAAUAACUACCUCCUAAGAUAAUGGAAAUGAUUGAAAGUGGAGAUACCCUCCUUACAUUGUGGAAACACUAACAAAUGCUUAAAGAAAAAUGCAACAACUAAAAAUAGAAACUAAACUGGUCAACCUUCAAUCCUUACUGCUUUCCCAUCUUCAGUAGGCUGUACACGUGGCUGUUUCUUCUGACUGUGAGUGUAACGUGUAUACACUUGUAAUGGCUUUGUAUCAAUACUUCCCGUCCCCUUAGGAAGCUUGUCCUCAAGCUUAAAAUGCGGAUAACGAUCCUGUAUAUCUUGAACAUUUUCCCAAGAGGCAUCAGUUUACUCACCCAGUGUUGUUGAGGGAAGGAAAGUGAGCGUUGCUCUAGUAAAAAUUUCAAGGUGUAGUGGUCAAUUCGCACCAGAAACUUUUUGCCCCAAAGAUAUGAUUGCCAGUGUUUAAUUGCUUUGACCAAGCCAAUCAGCUCCCUUUCAUAUGCCGGAAGACUAACAUGUCGGCCCGCCAUUGCUCGGCUAAAGAAGGCCACUAGUUUAUUUUCUUGUAGUAGCACAGCUCCAAUACCUGUGUCAGCACACUCAAGAACAAACAGUAGCUCGAAAUUCGGAAGAACUAAUAUGGGUGUGGUAGUCAGGGCCGUCUUCAAAGUUUCAAAUGCCUGAAUUGCUUCGUCAGUCCAUUGAAAAGAGUUUUUUCGUAACAAGGCAGUGAGAGGAGCAGCUAUAGUACCAUAGUUGAAUACAAACUUCCGGUAAUAGCCAGUAAGUCCAAGGAAACCCCGCAACCCCCGGAGAGUAACACGUCUAGGCCAUUCUGUGAUAGCUGCGAUUUUGGAAUUAUCCACCUGCACCCCCUUCUGUGAGAUUACAUGAAACAAGUAUGAAACCUGAGUUUGGGCAAAGGUGCACUUGGAGCGUUUCAAGAAUAAUUUAUUUUUUUCCAAGAUGUGGAAUACUUGACGAAGGUGCUGCAUAUGUUCUUCCCAAGAUUUACUGAAAACAAGGAUGUCAUAAAAAAAAACCAAUACGAAUUUACGGAGGUGUUCCUGGAAUACCUCAUUCAUUAAAGCUUGAAAAGUGGAUGGUGCGUUGGACAAUCCAAACGGCAUGACCAGAAAUUCGAAAUGACCGUGGUGAGUUCAAAAGGCUGUUUUUUCAAUGUCUGGUGGAUACAUGCCGAUCUGAAAAUAUCCAGAAAGCAAGUCUAAUUUGGUGAAGAACUUUGCCCCUCCCAAUUCGUCCAGAAGCUCAUCAAUAACAGGAAUUGGGAAUUUGUCUUUGAUGGUUUUGGCAUUGAGUUCCCUGUAAUCCACACACAAGCGCCAUGAUUUAUCAGCUUUGGGAACUAGAAUUACCGGAGAUGAAAAAGGAGAUCUGCUCGGGCGGAUGAUUCCUUGUUUGAGCAUAGCAGUACACUGGCGUUCAAUUUCAUCUUUUUGCCCAUGGGGAUAUCUGUAGGGGUGUACCACCACUGGUUUAGUGUUUGGUUCCAAAGGAAUACGGUGGUCACAGGAACGGGCGGGAGGUAGCCCUGUUGGUGGAUUAAAAAGAGAGGCAUAUUCAAAUAGUAAUUUUUGAAGUUGGGUAUCUGGGUCGGUAGCCGGUAAUAGAGAAUGAAGAUUAGGCUGCGUCCCUGAUCUAGAAUUUAUGCCGUAGAGUUCCACCUGUUUCCCUUGGACGAAGAAAGACAUCCACAUAAUGUUAAAGUCCCAUAGGAUGGGGCCCAGCGUUGUCAACCAAUUAACGCCAAGGACAAUGUCAAAGCCAGUCAAUUGCAAGACAAAUAAUUCCACCAUAAAAGUGGUAAAUCCCAAUUCGAUCGGUGCCCCCUUGCAAAUUCCAGGACUGCGGAGCUGUUUGCCAUUGGCGACAUUAACACGUAACCCAUCUUUCUCAUCCACUUCUGCCUGUAAUUCAUCAACUUUGGAAACAGAGACAAAGUUGUGAGUGCUUCCUGAAUCAACAAGGAUUAAUACCUGGGUUCCUUUCCAACGCCCCAGCAAACGCAUGGACUGUGGAUUGCGUGUUCCAGUAAUUGCGUGGAGAGAAAUUUCAGGUGGUAGAUCUGAGUCGGCGUCUUCCUCUGAAUUUGUUCCGUCUUCUAGAUCAAUCCAAAACAACCGUUUACAGUGAUGGCCACGCACAAACGGUUCAUCACAAUUAAAACACAACCCCUUUUUUCUCCUUUCAUCCAUUUCGUCUCUAGUGAGCCUUUUAAUUGUGCGGUUGUUGCGUGAAUCCGGAAGUGGAGAAUUGCGUUUGAUAUCUCGAGUGGUGGAGCUCCUGGUGUAAAGCUUCCGUUCAUACAAGCGAGACAUGCUCAUUGCUGUGACAAGAUCCUGUGGUUGGUGCAGCUCGACUUCAACAGAUAUGGAUUCCUGCAAGCCACUGAGAUACAAAUACAACUGAACCUUUUGGUUCUGAGUUAAGGUGCUAGCUCUGGAAACCAAAACUUCAAAUUUGUUUUGAUACUCCUCCACUGUGCCCGUUUGUUUUAAUUUGGCAAGUUCUCCCAGUUUGUUGCUUCGGAUAGGGGGUCCAAACCGCAAAUUGCAUUGGUUGACAAAUUCAGACCAUGUAGGAUUGGGAAUAUCUUGAAUCAUCUGUAAGUACCAUAGCUGUGCAAUUCCCUCUAGGUGGUAAGAAGCUAAACUCACCUUUUCCUCUUCAGGAGUGGAUUGGUGCCGGAAAAAGUGUUGACAACGGCUAAUCCAUCCCAAAGGAUCUUCCUGGCCAUUAAAGCGAGGGAAGUCAAGUUUCGUGAAUUUGGGCACAAUGACGUUGCCUCUCGAAGCUUCAGAGACUGUUGCUCCAAUAGGUCCUUUUUCGCGCCGAGUUUGAGCUUGACUUUCUGCACCUGGAGAAGAAGAUAGUCCCUUUCCGGCAGAUUCCAAUUCGAGAGACAUAGCCUCCAUUUUGGCGUGAAGCUGCUCAACCUUUUCAUGGCGGGCCUGAUUAGCUUGCUGUUCAGAAAGGACAAGGUUGAAAAGUUUUGUAAGUUGAUCUUGAACGGAUUCCCCCAUAACUGUUGGCUCUGAUACCAAAAUGUUAGGGUCCCGAACCUGAGAUCGAGUUAAGGGUCUUUCAUGGAGGGAAGUGGAAGGUGUUCGUGAGGGUGAGGACGUGGUGUUCUUUUUGCGACCUAUCUUGAGAAAUUAGAAGACUCAAUUAGAGGGAAUCUCAAACCUCUGAGUUAAAGUACUCAAAACUGUAAUGAUUUCCAAGUUGAUCUCUUCAUUGAUAAUUAUUGAAUAUUUAUACAGGAUGUAAACCACCCUUUGCUACAUCAAUGGAAUCAUGACUUGAUCAUGGAGUCACAACCUCCUAAGAUAAUGGGAGUAACUACCUCCUAAGAUAAUGGUAAUAACUACCUCCUAAGAUAAUGGAAAUAACUACCUCCUAAGAUAAUGGUAAUAACUACCUCCUAAGAUAAUGGAAAUAACUACCUCCUAAGAUAAUGGAAAUGAUUGAAAGUGGAGAUACCCUCCUUACAUUGUGGAAACACUAACAAAUGCUUAAAGAAAAAUGCAACAACUAAAAAUAGAAACUAAACUGGUCAACCUUCAAUCCUUACUGCUUCCCCAUCUUCAGUAGGCUGUACACGAGGCUGUUUCUUCUGACUGUGAGUGUAACGUGUAUACACUUGU
This 4143-nucleotide long non-coding RNA is filed under the name Manihot esculenta (cassava). RNAcentral describes it as "long non-coding RNA (MESC_LNC005466)". Lineage: Eukaryota; Viridiplantae; Streptophyta; Magnoliopsida; Malpighiales; Euphorbiaceae. The record is from RNAcentral.